Long non-coding RNA from Pteropus alecto (black flying fox), 768 nucleotides. RefSeq lists it as uncharacterized. The record is from RefSeq and is a predicted model, not a curated record. The transcript has 2 exons. NCBI's taxonomy places the organism in Eukaryota, Metazoa, Chordata, Mammalia, Chiroptera, Pteropodidae.
CAUUUUGGGUUGUCAUAAGGGGAAGAGAGAAAGUAUUACUGGCAUCUAGUGGGUAGGGGCAGGGAUGCUGUAACACCCUACAAUGAACAGGACAGGCCCCACAACAAAGGAGGAUCAGGCCUAAAAGUCCACAGUUUCUGGUUGAAGUCCUGCUCUAUCCUCAUGGCUUUGACACUGCUGUUUCCAAACGCCAGCCUUUGACAUUUCACUUUCUAUAAGAUUGGGAGGAGAAGCGACUGAGCGCACUGACCUGCUUGCAGCCUUGCAACCCGUCCUGGAACAGCUGCUCCCGUGGGGUUCCCUCCCUCUCUUUCCGAAGGAGCCCCUCCCCACCCCCACAGCAGAUUCAAAGUAGAGCAGCCUUCAUGAGUCAGAAAGAAAGACCAGCCAUUCUGAAGUCAACAUCCAAGUAAGAAGAGAAAGAACUCUGGAGUUUGGACAUGGCACGAAGCAUUGACGUCAGACACACCUGCUUUUCCAUCACACGCUUUAUGUGAAAUGGCAGGGACUCCACCAGCACCUCACAGGAGCCUCAGUGAUUUGAGGCAAAUGCAGAGAGCUCAAAACCACGCUGCUUCAUCCGCUUCCUCAACACAGGUUCACUGAGCACCUACUAUGUGCCACCCAUGCUUCUGGUCACUGGAGAGACCAAAGACCAAAACCGAGCCUGUGCCCUCACAAAACCCACAUUCUAGUGGGGCAGCUAGAUCCCCUCAAAACCAAAACCCAGGGACACAUUACAGUGUGUCGGGUGAUGAUAAUUGCUGA